This 511-nucleotide ribosomal RNA is filed under the name uncultured bacterium. Its description in RNAcentral is "bacterial SSU rRNA". It matches the Rfam family "Bacterial small subunit ribosomal RNA", at positions 9 to 514 of the family's 1533-position model. The record is from RNAcentral.
GAGUUUGAUCGUGGCUCAGAUUGAACGCUGGCGGCAGGCCUAACACAUGCAAGUCGAGCGGUAGAGAGAAGCUUGCUUCUCUUGAGAGCGGCGGACGGGUGAGUAAUGCCUAGGAAUCUGCCUGGUAGUGGGGGAUAACGCUCGGAAACGGACGCUAAUACCGCAUACGUCCUACGGGAGAAAGCAGGGGACCUUCGGGCCUUGCGCUAUCAGAUGAGCCUAGGUCGGAUUAGCUAGUUGGUGAGGUAAUGGCUCACCAAGGCGACGAUCCGUAACUGGUCUGAGAGGAUGAUCAGUCACACUGGAACUGAGACACGGUCCAGACUCCUACGGGAGGCAGCAGUGGGGGAAUAUUGGACAAUGGGCGAAAGCCUGAUCCAGCCAUGCCGCGUGUGUGAAGAAGGUCUUCGGAUUGUAAAGCACUUUAAGUUGGGAGGAAGGGCAGUAAAUUAAUACUUUGCUGUUUUGACGUUACCGACAGAAUAAGCACCGGCUAACUCUGUGCCAGCAG